CACACGAUUCUCGGCAACGGAUAUCUCGGCUCUCGCAUCGAUGAAGAACGUAGCGAAAUGCGAUACCUGGUGUGAAUUGCAGAAUCCCGCGAACCAUCGAGUCUUUGAACGCAAGUUGCGCCCGAGGCCACUCGGCCGAGGGCACGCCUGCCUGGGCGUCACGC
Molecule: ribosomal RNA, 164 nt
Filed under: Elymus grandis
Lineage: Eukaryota; Viridiplantae; Streptophyta; Magnoliopsida; Poales; Poaceae
Description: 5.8S ribosomal RNA
Rfam family: 5.8S ribosomal RNA
About the family: 5.8S ribosomal RNA (5.8S rRNA) is a component of the large subunit of the eukaryotic ribosome. It is transcribed by RNA polymerase I as part of the 45S precursor that also contains 18S and 28S rRNA. Functionally, it is thought that 5.8S rRNA may be involved in ribosome translocation.
Source: RNAcentral